AACGCACCUUGCGCCCUCUGGUAUUCCGGAGGGCAUGCCUGUUUGAGUGUCAUUAAAUUCUCAACUUCAUUAGUUUUUAUAACUGAUUGAAGCGUGGAUUUGGGGGCUUGCUGGCGUCUUAGAUGUUUCGGCUCUCCUUAAAUGCAUUAGUAGGAACCCGUUUGUUGGCGUCCAUAGUGUGAUAAUUAUCUACACUUUGGUUAGUUCAACAGGCUCUAAUGAAGUUAUUUCAGAGUGCUUCAAGUGCUUCUGGUACGGGUUUUGCACUUUGUGCUUUACCUGGGUAUAUGAGGUUUUGCGUUUUUAUAUGCUUUACCUGAUUUUUUUCAUUAGAGUAGGAACUCUGCUCUCUAAACGUCUAUUAUUGUGGACAAAUUUUUGACAACUUGACCUCAAAUCAGGUAGGACUACCCGCUGAACUUAA
This 424-nucleotide unclassified non-coding RNA is filed under the name uncultured fungus. RNAcentral's name for it is "partial contains 5.8S ribosomal RNA, internal transcribed spacer 2, and large subunit ribosomal RNA". The stretch from base 1 to 52 matches the Rfam family "5.8S ribosomal RNA", at positions 103 to 154 of the family's 154-position model. Lineage: Eukaryota; Fungi. The record is from RNAcentral.